ACCUUGCUACUUGGAUAACCGUAGUAAUUCUAGAGCUAAUACAUGCAGGAGUUCCCGACUUCGGAAGGGAUGUAUUUAUUAGAUAAGAAACCAAACCGGUCUCCGGUUGUGUGCUGAGUCAUAAUAACUGCUCGAAUCGCACGGCUCUACGCUGGCGAUGGUUCAUUCAAAUUUCUGCCCUAUCAGCUUUCGAUGGUAGGAUAGAGGCCUACCAUGGCGUUAACGGGUAACGGGGAAUUAGGGUUCGAUUCCGGAGAGGGAGCCUGAGAAAUGGCUACCACAUCCAAGGAAGGCAGCAGGCGCGUAAAUUGCCCGAAUCCUGACACAGGGAGGUAGUGACAAGAAAUAACAAUACAGGGCUCUUCGAGUCUUGUAAUUGGAAUGAGUACAAUUUACAUCUCUUCACGAGGAUCAAUUGGAGGGCAAGUCUGGUGCCAGCAGCCGCGGUAAUUCCAGCUCCAAUAGCGUAUAUUAAAGUUGUUGCAGUUAAAACGCUCGUAGUCGGAUUUCGGGGCGGGCCCGCCGGUCUGCCGAUGGGUAUGCACUGGCGGGGGCGCCCUUCCUCCCGGAGACGGCUGCUACUCUUAACUGAGCGGUGGCCGGAGACGGGAUAUUUACUUUG
RNAcentral lists this ribosomal RNA (622 nucleotides) under Isochrysis galbana. Its description in RNAcentral is "SSU rRNA". It matches the Rfam family "Eukaryotic small subunit ribosomal RNA", at positions 129 to 759 of the family's 1831-position model. Lineage: Eukaryota; Haptophyta; Isochrysidales; Isochrysidaceae. The record is from RNAcentral.